Molecule: ribosomal RNA, 460 nt
Filed under: uncultured bacterium
Lineage: Bacteria
Description: partial 16S ribosomal RNA
Rfam family: Bacterial small subunit ribosomal RNA
Source: RNAcentral
CCUACGGGAGGCAGCAGUGAGGAAUAUUGGUCAAUGGACGCAAGUCUGAACCAGCCAUGCCGCGUGCAGGAAGACGGCUCUAUGAGUUGUAAACUGCUUUUGUACGAGGGUAAACGCAGAUACGCGUAUCUGUCUGAAAGUAUCGUACGAAUAAGGAUCGGCUAACUCCGUGCCAGCAGCCGCGGGAAUACGGAGGGUUCAAGCGUUAUCCGGAUUUAUUGGGGUUAAAGGGGGCGUAGGCGGUCGGAUAAGGUAGAGGUGAAAUCCCGAGGCUCAACUUCGGAAUUGCCUCUGAUACUGUUCGGCUUGAGAGUAGUUGCGGUAGGCGGAAUGUAUGGUGUAGCGGUGAAAUGCUUAGAGAUCAUACAGAACACCGAUUGCGAAGGCAGCUUACCAGGCUACUUCUGACGUUGAGGCACGAAAGCGUGGGGAGCAAACAGGAUUAGAUACCCCGGUAGUC